GACAGAGGGUGCGAACGUUGUUCGGUGUCACUGGGCUUAGAGGGUGCGUAGGCGGCCCGAUUAGUGGGAGGUGAAAGCUCCGGGCUUAACCCGGAAAUUGCCUCCCAAACGGCCGGGCUUGAGGGCUGGAGGGGGAAGCGGAACGUCAUGUGUAGCGGUGAUAUGCGUUGAUAUAUGACGGAACGCCGACGGCGAAGGCAGCUUCCUGGCCAGCAUCUGACGCUGAGGCACGAAAGCGUGGGUAGCGAACGGGAUUAGAUACCCCAGUA
RNAcentral lists this ribosomal RNA (269 nucleotides) under uncultured prokaryote. Its description in RNAcentral is "partial 16S ribosomal RNA". It matches the Rfam family "Bacterial small subunit ribosomal RNA", at positions 524 to 792 of the family's 1533-position model. The record is from RNAcentral.